AGCUCCAAUAGCGUAUAUUAAUGUUGUUGCAGUUAAAAAGCUCGUAGUUGGAUUCCUGGCACGGGGUAGCCGGUCCGCCUUGCAAAAGGUGCGCACUGAGCGGCCUCGGCCAUCCUUGGGAAGAGCGGUCCUGGCAUUCAGUUGUCGGGGCCGGGAUUCCCGACGUUUACUGUGAAAAAUCAGAGUGUUCAAAGCAGGCUUACGCCUUGAAUACAUUAGCAUGGAAUAAUGAGAUAGGACCUUGGCGGUCUAUUUUGUUGGUUUGCACGCCGAGGUAAUGAUUAAAAGGGACGGUUGGGGUUCUUCGUAUUCAAUUGUCAGAGGUGAAAUUCUUGGAUUGCGUUACGACGAACUACUGCGAAAGCAUUUGCCAAAGAUGUUUUCA
RNAcentral lists this ribosomal RNA (385 nucleotides) under uncultured eukaryote. RNAcentral's name for it is "SSU rRNA". It matches the Rfam family "Eukaryotic small subunit ribosomal RNA", at positions 587 to 972 of the family's 1831-position model. The record is from RNAcentral.